GCACUGGUAGCUCAGUGGUAGAAUUCUCACCUCCCACGUGGAAGCCCUGGGUUCGAUUCCCGGCUAAGGCA
Molecule: transfer RNA, 71 nt
Filed under: Loxodonta africana (African savanna elephant)
Lineage: Eukaryota; Metazoa; Chordata; Mammalia; Proboscidea; Elephantidae
Rfam family: tRNA
About the family: Transfer RNA (tRNA) molecules are approximately 80 nucleotides in length. Their secondary structure includes four short double-helical elements and three loops (D, anti-codon, and T loops).
Source: Rfam by way of RNAcentral